GAUGAACGCUAGCUACAGGCUUAACACAUGCAAGUCGAGGGGCAGCAUGGUCUUAGCUUGCUAAGGCCGAUGGCGACCGGCGCACGGGUGAGUAACACGUAUCCAACCUGCCGUCUACUCUUGGACAGCCUUCUGAAAGGAAGAUUAAUACAAGAUGGCAUCAUGAGUCCACAUGUUCACAUGAUUAAAGGUAUUCCGGUAGACGAUGGGGAUGCGUUCCAGUAGAUAGUAGGCGGGGUAACGGCCCACCUAGUCUUCGAUGGAUAGGGGUUCUGAGGGGAAGGUCCCCCACAUUGGAACUGAGACACGGUCCAAACUCCUACGGGAGGCAGCAGUGAGGAAUAUUGGUCAAUGGGCGAGAGCCUGAACCAGCCAAGUAGCGUGAAGGAUGACUGCCCUAUGGGUUGUAAACUUCUGUUAUAAAGGAAUAAAGUCGGGUAUGCAUACCCGUUUGCAUGUACUUUAUGAAUAAGGAUCGGCUAACUCCGUGCCAGCAGCCGCCGUAA
Molecule: ribosomal RNA, 506 nt
Filed under: uncultured bacterium
Lineage: Bacteria
Description: partial 16S ribosomal RNA
Rfam family: Bacterial small subunit ribosomal RNA
Source: RNAcentral